Poecilia latipinna (sailfin molly) is the source of this 541-nucleotide long non-coding RNA. RefSeq lists it as uncharacterized. The record is from RefSeq and is a predicted model, not a curated record. The transcript has 3 exons. NCBI's taxonomy places the organism in Eukaryota, Metazoa, Chordata, Actinopteri, Cyprinodontiformes, Poeciliidae.
GCUGCAAGGCAACAGCUCUACCAACUGCGCCACUGUGCAGCCCACAUUACAAUCAAAGUAUAUAAAACUUUUUAUAACCAGUACCUGCAAAUGAACCACCUAAUUCAGGGGAUGCUGCAGGUAACCAAACAAAACCCCAAAUCACAGGUAAACAACCUGGUUGUCCAUUACAAAAAGAACCAAUACAUUCCAGGUGAGUAAUGUCUUUUUUUCUCUUCAUUGCAGGAAAGAAGGUCCAAAAGACCCAGUAGACGACGUGUCUUGCAAACAGAAAGUCCCAAGGCCCCAGGAAGACAGCGAGGCGUACCCAGCAUUUCAGUUUCCACCAAAGAAACAAUAUAAUCCCCAGGUCAUGCAAAACAAGUAAAAGUGAAAAAUCAUCCGUAGAAUUGCUUGGAGAACCUCCUCAUCCUCUUAAUGCACUUAGAAACUGCAUGAUAACAAAAACCUUUGUCCAUAAAUCCACUUUCCUCUGCUGUUUCUGGGUCAUGGGAUAACAGCUUCAGAAGGGAGACCCAGACUUCCCUCUCCCCAGCCACUU